UACGUAGGUGGCAAGCGUUGUCCGGAAUUACUGGGCGUAAAGAGCGCGCAGGCGGCUGGUCAAGUCCGAUGUGAAAGCUCCCGGCUUAACUGGGAAAUUGCAUCGGAAACUGAUCGGCUUGAAGGUGGGAGAGGGUAGUGGAAUUCCCGGUGUAGUGGUGAAAUGCGCAGAUAUCAGGAGGAACACCGGUGGCGAAGGCGGUUCUCUGGGCCUUACCUGACACUGAGGAGCGAAAGCGUGGGGAGCGAACAGG
RNAcentral lists this ribosomal RNA (253 nucleotides) under uncultured bacterium. RNAcentral's name for it is "partial 16S ribosomal RNA". It matches the Rfam family "Bacterial small subunit ribosomal RNA", at positions 524 to 776 of the family's 1533-position model. The record is from RNAcentral.